RNAcentral lists this ribosomal RNA (465 nucleotides) under Megasphaera geminata. RNAcentral describes it as "bacterial SSU rRNA". It matches the Rfam family "Bacterial small subunit ribosomal RNA", at positions 28 to 473 of the family's 1533-position model. Lineage: Bacteria; Bacillati; Bacillota; Negativicutes; Veillonellales; Veillonellaceae. The record is from RNAcentral.
GACGAACGCUGGCGGCGUGCGUAACACAUGCAAGUCGAACGAGAGAGUGAGAGAAGCUUGCUUUUCUUACGAUCGAGUGGCAAACGGGUGAGUAACGCGUAAACAACCUGCCCCGCAGAUGGGGACAACAGCUGGAAACGGCUGCUAAUACCGAAUACGGUCCUCUUAGCGCAUGGUAAGAGGAAGAAAGGGUGGCCUCUGGAACAAGCUACCGCUGCGGGAGGGGUUUGCGUCUGAUUAGCUGGUUGGAGGGGUAACGGCCCACCAAGGCGACGAUCAGUAGCCGGUCUGAGAGGAUGAACGGCCACAUUGGAACUGAGACACGGUCCAGACUCCUACGGGAGGCAGCAGUGGGGAAUCUUCCGCAAUGGGCGAAAGCCUGACGGAGCAACGCCGCGUGAGUGAAGACGGCCUUCGGGGUUGUAAAAGCUCUGUUAUAAGGGGAACGAAACCGGCCCGGGUAAG